Molecule: ribosomal RNA, 696 nt
Filed under: uncultured bacterium
Lineage: Bacteria
Description: bacterial SSU rRNA
Rfam family: Bacterial small subunit ribosomal RNA
Source: RNAcentral
AACGCUAGCUACAGGCUUAACACAUGCAAGUCGAGGGGAAACGACAUCGAAAGCUUGCUUUUGAUGGGCGUCGACCGGCGCACGGGUGAGUAACGCGUAUCCAACCUGCCCAUCACUUGGGGAUAACCUUGCGAAAGUAAGACUAAUACCCAAUGAUAUCUCUAGAAGACAUCUGAAAGAGAUUAAAGAUUUAUCGGUGAUGGAUGGGGAUGCGUCUGAUUAGCUUGUUGGCGGGGUAACGGCCCACCAAGGCGACGAUCAGUAGGGGUUCUGAGAGGAAGGUCCCCCACAUUGGAACUGAGACACGGUCCAAACUCCUACGGGAGGCAGCAGUGAGGAAUAUUGGUCAAUGGGCGAGAGCCUGAACCAGCCAAGUAGCGUGCAGGAUGACGGCCCUAUGGGUUGUAAACUGCUUUUAUAAGGGAAUAAAGUGAGUCUCGUGAGACUUUUUGCAUGUACCUUAUGAAUAAGGACCGGCUAAUUCCGUGCCAGCAGCCGCGGUAAUACGGAAGGUCCGGGCGUUAUCCGGAUUUAUUGGGUUUAAAGGGAGCGUAGGCCGGAGAUUAAGCGUGUUGUGAAACGUAGACGCUCAACGUCUGCACUGCAGCGCGAACUGGUUUCCUUGAGUACGCACAAAGUGGGCGGAAUUCGUGGUGUAGCGGUGAAAUGCUUAGAUAUCACGAAGAACUCCGAUUG